RNAcentral lists this ribosomal RNA (437 nucleotides) under uncultured bacterium. RNAcentral describes it as "bacterial SSU rRNA". It matches the Rfam family "Bacterial small subunit ribosomal RNA", at positions 958 to 1398 of the family's 1533-position model. The record is from RNAcentral.
AACGCGAAGAACCUUACCUGGUCUUGACAUCCUCGGAAUCUGCCAGAGAUGGCGGAGUGCCCGCAAGGGAACCGAGAGACAGGUGCUGCAUGGCUGUCGUCAGCUCGUGUCGUGAGAUGUUGGGUUAAGUCCCGCAACGAGCGCAACCCUCGCCUUUAGUUGCCACGCAAGUGGAUCUCUAGAGGGACUGCCGGUGUUAAACCGGAGGAAGGUGGGGAUGACGUCAAGUCCUCAUGGCCUUUAUGACCAGGGCUACACACGUGCUACAAUGGCCGGUACAAAGCGCUGCCAACUCGCGAGAGGGAGCCAAUCGCAUAAAACCGGUCUCAGUUCAGAUUGGAGUCUGCAACUCGACUCCAUGAAGGCGGAAUCGCUAGUAAUCGUAGAUCAGCACGCUACGGUGAAUACGUUCCCGGGCCUUGUACACACCGUAGUAC